CUACGGGGGGCACCAGUGGGGAAUUUUGCGCAAUGGGGGAAACCCUGACGCAGCAAUACCGCGUGAGUGAAGAAGGCCUUUGGGUCGUAAAGCUCUUUUCUUGGGGAAGAUAGUGACGGUACCCAAGGAAUAAGCACCGGCUAACUCCGUGCCAGCAGCCGCGGUAAUACGGAGGGUGCAAGCGUUGUUCGGAUUUACUGGGCGUAAAGGGCACGUAGGCGGCACAGCAAGUUAAGGGUGAAAUCCCGGGGCUCAACUCCGGAACUGCUCUUAAAACUGCUGAGCUAGAGAUAGUCAGAGGCGGGUGGAAUUCCAGGUGUAGAGGUGAAAUUCGUAGAUAUCUGGAGGAACACCGGUGGCGAGGGCGGCCCGCUGGGGCUAUUCUGACGCUAAGGUGCGAAAGCGUGGGGAGCAAACGGGAUUAGAUACCCGGGUAGUC
This 439-nucleotide ribosomal RNA is filed under the name uncultured bacterium. RNAcentral describes it as "partial 16S ribosomal RNA". It matches the Rfam family "Bacterial small subunit ribosomal RNA", at positions 339 to 795 of the family's 1533-position model. The record is from RNAcentral.